RNAcentral lists this ribosomal RNA (495 nucleotides) under uncultured bacterium. RNAcentral describes it as "partial 16S ribosomal RNA". It matches the Rfam family "Bacterial small subunit ribosomal RNA", at positions 28 to 507 of the family's 1533-position model. The record is from RNAcentral.
GAUGAACGCUGGCGGCGUGCCUAAUACAUGCAAGUCGAACGCUGAAGUCGGAGCUUGCUUCCCUGGAUUAGUUGCGAACGGGUGAGUAACGCGUAGGUAACCUGCUUGGAAUCGUGGGAUAACUUUUGGAAACGAUACCUAAUCCCGCAUAACAUUAAAUGUUCCAUGACAUUCGCUUAAACUGUGCACUUGCGCCACUACCAGCAGGACCAGCGUUGUAUUAGACAGUUGGUGAGGUAGUGGCUCACCAAGGCGACGACUCAUAGCCGACGGGAGAGGGUGAACGGCCACACUGGGACUGAGACACGGCCCAGACUCCUACGGGAGGGAGAAGUAGGGAAUAGUAGGAAAUGGACGAAAGUCUGACCGAGCAACGCCGCGUGAGGGAAGAAGGUUGUCGGAUCGUAAAGUUCGGUUGUAAGGGAAGGACAAGUGUGAGAGUAUGAAGUUGAUACUGUGACGGUAUCUGACCAGAAAGGAACGGCUAACUACGUG